GCCGAGGUGGUGGAAUUGGUAGACACGAGGGAUUUAAGUCCCCUUGACCUAAAACGUCGUGCGGGUUCGAGCCCCGCCCUCGGCA
This 85-nucleotide transfer RNA is filed under the name Candidatus Kaiserbacteria bacterium RIFCSPLOWO2_12_FULL_50_28. Its description in RNAcentral is "tRNA-Leu". It matches the Rfam family "tRNA". Rfam says of the family: Transfer RNA (tRNA) molecules are approximately 80 nucleotides in length. Their secondary structure includes four short double-helical elements and three loops (D, anti-codon, and T loops). Further hydrogen bonds mediate the characteristic L-shaped molecular structure. tRNAs have two regions of fundamental functional importance: the anti-codon, which is responsible for specific mRNA codon recognition, and the 3' end, to which the tRNAs corresponding amino acid is attached (by aminoacyl-tRNA synthetases). tRNAs cope with the degeneracy of the genetic code in two manners: having more than one tRNA (with a specific anti-codon) for a particular amino acid; and 'wobble' base-pairing, i.e. permitting non-standard base-pairing at the 3rd anti-codon position. Lineage: Bacteria; Candidatus Kaiseribacteriota. The record is from RNAcentral. RNAcentral also lists the same sequence under 2 other names.